This 465-nucleotide ribosomal RNA is filed under the name uncultured bacterium. RNAcentral describes it as "partial 16S ribosomal RNA". It matches the Rfam family "Bacterial small subunit ribosomal RNA", at positions 28 to 507 of the family's 1533-position model. The record is from RNAcentral.
GACGAACGCUGGCGGCGUGCUUAACACAUGCAAGUCGAACGGUGAACUCCGCUUGCGGGGGGAUCAGUGGCGAACGGGUGAGUAACACGUGGGCAACCUGCCCUCAGCUCUGGGAUAACUCCAAGAAAUUGGGGCUAAUACCGUAUAUGACCGCUGACCGCAUGGUCUGGUGGUGGAAAGAUUUAUCGGCUGGGGAUGGGCCCGCGGCCUAUCAGCUUGUUGGUGGGGUAGUGGCCUACCAAGGCGACGACGGGUAGCCGGCCUGAGAGGGUGACCGGCCACACUGGGACUGAGACACGGCCCAGACUCCUACGGGAGGCAGCAGUGGGGAAUAUUGCGCAAUGGGCGAAAGCCUGACGCAGCGACGCCGCGUGGGGGAUGACGGCCUUCGGGUUGUAAACCUCUUUCAGCAGGGACGAAGCGAAAGUGACGGUACCUGCAGAAGAAGCACCGGCCAACUACGUG